Mycena floridula is the source of this 73-nucleotide non-coding RNA. NCBI's taxonomy places the organism in Eukaryota, Fungi, Basidiomycota, Agaricomycetes, Agaricales, Mycenaceae. The record is from the annotation of a GenBank genome assembly.
GCGGCGAUGGUGCAGUGGUAGCACACCCGACUACAUAAUACGGAUGGCUCUGGUUCGAAUCCAGGUCGUUGCC